GACGAACGCUGGCGGCGUGCCUAAUACAUGCAAGUAGAACGCUGAAGGAGGAGCUUGCUUCUCUGGAUGAGUUGCGAACGGGUGAGUAACGCGUAGGUAACCUGCCUGGUAGCGGGGGAUAACUAUUGGAAACGAUAGCUAAUACCGCAUAAUAGCAGUUAUUGCAUGAUAACUGUUUGAAAGGUGCAAAUGCAUCACUACCAGAUGGACCUGCGUUGUAUUAGCUAGUUGGUGGGGUAACGGCUCACCAAGGCGACGAUACAUAGCCGACCUGAGAGGGUGAUCGGCCACACUGGGACUGAGACACGGCCCAGACUCCUACGGGAGGCAGCAGUAGGGAAUCUUCGGCAAUGGACGGGAAGUCUGACCGAGCAAACGCCGCGUGAGUGAAGAAGGUUUUCGGAUUCGUAAAAGCUUCUGUUGUAAAG
This 428-nucleotide ribosomal RNA is filed under the name Streptococcus mitis. Its description in RNAcentral is "bacterial SSU rRNA". It matches the Rfam family "Bacterial small subunit ribosomal RNA", at positions 28 to 443 of the family's 1533-position model. Lineage: Bacteria; Bacillati; Bacillota; Bacilli; Lactobacillales; Streptococcaceae. The record is from RNAcentral.